Molecule: ribosomal RNA, 523 nt
Filed under: uncultured bacterium
Lineage: Bacteria
Description: bacterial SSU rRNA
Rfam family: Bacterial small subunit ribosomal RNA
Source: RNAcentral
UACGGAGGAUGCAAGCGUUAUCCGGAUUUAUUGGGUUUAAAGGGUGCGUAGGCGGGGCAGCAAGUCAGUGGUGAAAUCUUUCGGCUUAACUGAAAAACUACCAUUGAAACUGUUGUCCUUGAGUAUAUUUGGAGUGGGCGGAAUGUGUCAUGUAGCGGUGAAAUGCUUAGAUAUGACACAGAACACCAAUCGCGAAGGCAGCUCACUAAACUAUAACUGACGCUGAAGCACGAAAGCGUGGGGAUCAAACAGGAUUAGAUACCCUGGUAGUCCACGCUGUAAACGAUGAUCACUCGAUGUUGGCGAUACACUGUCAGCGUCUGAGCGAAAGCAUUAAGUGAUCCACCUGGGGAGUACGAUCGCAAGGUUGAAACUCAAAGGAAUUGACGGGGGCCCGCACAAGCGGAGGAGCAUGUGGUUUAAUUCGAUGAUACGCGAGGAACCUUACCUGGGCUUAAAUGUAGGGCGACGUUCCGGGAAACCGGAAUUCCCUUUUGGGCGACCUACAAGGUGCUGCAUGGCU